RNAcentral lists this ribosomal RNA (555 nucleotides) under Armillaria mellea. Its description in RNAcentral is "eukaryotic LSU rRNA". It matches the Rfam family "Eukaryotic large subunit ribosomal RNA", at positions 81 to 634 of the family's 3401-position model. The record is from RNAcentral. Lineage: Eukaryota; Fungi; Basidiomycota; Agaricomycetes; Agaricales; Physalacriaceae.
UAGUAACUGCGAGUGAAGAGGGAAAAGCUCAAAUUUAAAAUCUGGCAGCUUUGCUGUCCGAGUUGUAAUUUAGAGAAGUGUUACCCGCGUUGGACCGUGUACAAGUCUCCUGGAAUGGAGCGUCAUAGAGGGUGAGAAUCCCGUCUUUGACACGGACUGCCAAGGCAUUGUGGUACGCUCUCAAAGAGUCGAGUUGUUUGGGAAUGCAGCUCUAAAUGGGUGGUAAAUUCCAUCUAAAGCUAAAUAUUGGCGAGAGACCGAUAGCAAACAAGUACCGUGAGGGAAAGAUGAAAAGAACUUUGGAAAGAGAGUUAAACAGUACGUGAAAUUGUUGAAAGGGAAACGCUUAAAGUCCAGUCGCGUUGGCUAAGAAUCAGCCUUGGUUUUUUCCUUGGUGCACUUCCUAGUUGACGGGUCAACAUCAGUUUUGACUGUUGGAUAAAGAUCAAGGGAAUGUGGCACCCUCGGGUGUGUUAUAGCUUUUGGUUGUAUACAACGGUUGGGACUGAGGAACUCAGCACGCCGCAAGGCCAGGUGUUUGUACCAUGUACGUGC